This 329-nucleotide ribosomal RNA is filed under the name uncultured bacterium. RNAcentral's name for it is "bacterial SSU rRNA". It matches the Rfam family "Bacterial small subunit ribosomal RNA", at positions 568 to 897 of the family's 1533-position model. The record is from RNAcentral.
UGCGUAGGCGGCAUAGCAAGUCAGAUGUGAAAUCCCCGGGCUUAACUCGGGUGGUGCAUUUGAAACUGCUGAGCUUGAGUGCAGGAGAGGAAAGCGGAAUUCCUAGUGUAGCGGUGAAAUGCGUAGAUACUAGGAGGAACACCAGUGGCGAAGGCGGCUUUCUGGACUGUAACUGACGCUGAGGCACGAAAGCGUGGGGAGCAAACAGGAUUAGAUACCCUGGUAGUCCACGCUGUAAACGAUGGAUACUAGGUGUGGGGGACAUACAACCUCCGUGCCGGAGCUAACGCAAUAAGUAUCCCGCCUGGGGAGUACGGUCGCAAGGCUGA